Molecule: ribosomal RNA, 1427 nt
Filed under: metagenome
Description: bacterial SSU rRNA
Rfam family: Archaeal small subunit ribosomal RNA
Source: RNAcentral
UCCCGUUGAUCCUGCGGGAGAUUGCUGCUAUUGGGAUUCGACUAAGCCAUGCAAGUGUUCUAGCAAUAGACGCGAAAGGCUCAGUAACACGUCGGUAACCUGCCCUAUGGUCGGGAAUAACCUCGCGAAAGUGAGGGUAAAACCUGAUAGGGAAAAAAAUCUGGAAUGAUUUCUUCCUUAAACUUGUGCCAUAGGAUGGGCCGGCGGCGGAUUAGGUAGUUGGCGGUGUAAUGGACCACCAAGCCGAAGAUCCGUACGGGCCAUGAGAGUGGUAGCCCGGAGAGGAACACUGAGAUACUGGUUCCAGCCCUACGGGGUGCAGCAGGCGCGUAACCUUUACAAUGCACGAAAGUGUGAUAAGGGGAUCCCAAGUGCUUAACAUUGUUAGGCUUUUGCCAAGUGUAAAUAGCUUGGCGAAUAAGGGGUGGGUAAGACUGGUGCCAGCCGCCGCGGUAACACCAGCGCCCCAAGUGGCAAUCACGUUUAUUGGGCCUAAAGCGUUCGUAGCAGGUCUUGACAAUCUUUUGUGAAAUCGGCAAGCUUAACUUGUCGGCGUGCAGGAGACACUGCAAGACUCGAGACCGGGAGAAGUUAGGAGUAUUUCUGGGGUAACGGUAAAAUGUGUUAAUCCCAGGAGGACUACCAAUGGCGAAGGCACCUAACCAGAACGGAUCUGACUGUGAGGAACGAAAGCUAGGGGAGCAAAACGGAUUAGAUACCCGAGUAGUCCUAGCCGUAAACUCUGCGAGCAAGGUAUUGCGCAUCUCACGAGGAUGUGCAGUGUCGAAGCGAAGGCGUUAAGCUCGCCGCCAGGGAAGUACGGUCGCAAGGCUGAAACUUUAAGGAAUUGGCGGGGGAGCACCACAAGGGGUGCGGCGUGCGGUUCAAUCUAACUUAACGCAGAGAACCUCACUAGACCCGACGGCAGGAUGAAGGACAAGCUGAAGACUUUUCCUGACGAGCCGAGAGGUAGUGCAUGGCCGUCGUCAGCUCGUGCUGUGAAGUGUCCUCUUAAGUGAGGCAACGAGCGAGACCUAUACCCUCUAUUGCUAACAACCGUUACGACGGGUUUGAGCACUUUGAGGGGACUGCCUUGGAAACAAGGAGGAAGGUGUAGGCUACGGUAGGUCUGUAUGCUCCGAAUGGUCUAGGCUACACGCGCGCAACAAUGGUUGGGACAAUGGGAUGCGACCCUGAAAAGGGCAGCUAAACCUCUAAACCCAAUCCAAGUUCAGAUCGAGGCUUGUAACCCAGCCUCGUGACGCUGGAAUCCCUAGUAAUCGGGUGUCAUCAUCGCCCGGUGAAUGUGUCCCUGCUCCUUGCACACACCGCCCGUCAAACCAAUCGAGCAGGGUUUAGGUGAAACUUAAUUUUUUUGAUUAAGUUGAAUCUAAGCUCAGUGAGAUGGGUUAAGUCGUCCCAAGGUC